Amphiprion ocellaris (clown anemonefish) is the source of this 304-nucleotide long non-coding RNA. The record is from Ensembl. Lineage: Eukaryota; Metazoa; Chordata; Actinopteri; Pomacentridae.
CACCGCUCUCAUGGCGGAAAACUACUUUUAGCGGAAUUUCCAGAGUUCCGUCAAAUGUUUUUCUAGAUGUAGCUUUAUAGAGAUUAUAGACCAAUAAACUUCCAGCUGACAACUAUGCCGAAAAGGAAACUCCACACACCUGACACAACAGAAAGAGACUGGUUGAGAAGAAGCAUUCCACCGCGUACUUUAACAAGAUGGAAAAAAAGGAAAAUCGACCAAACUUUGACUGACAUCAGAAAUCGCACAACGCAACAACAUGGAAGUGAUGAAGAUGGCAGCCAGAGAGAACCGCAGAGAGCAG